GAUGAGUGUUCGAUGAUGAAUGCAGCGCCAGAGAUACGAGUCUUUCCGGUGCCUUGAUGGGAAAUCGCAGCUUUUAGCGUUUCUUUAACAUGCAGCGUCGGGAAGGAAUGCCGGCAGCUUUACCCAGGUAUUGGCUCACUGAAAGGAUCAACCCUUUGAGAUUUUUCCCGUCCACGGUGCUGUAACGAACGUGUACACAAAGCAUCUUCGGUGGAAGGAUGAGAACUGGCGCCAAGUUCAGC
This is a long non-coding RNA of Anopheles cruzii, 242 nucleotides long. RefSeq lists it as uncharacterized. The record is from RefSeq and is a predicted model, not a curated record. NCBI's taxonomy places the organism in Eukaryota, Metazoa, Arthropoda, Insecta, Diptera, Culicidae. The transcript has 3 exons.